Molecule: small RNA, 86 nt
Filed under: Parachlamydia acanthamoebae
Lineage: Bacteria; Pseudomonadati; Chlamydiota; Chlamydiia; Parachlamydiales; Parachlamydiaceae
Description: Termite-leu
Source: RNAcentral
AAUAAAAAGCAGAGAAAACUCUCUGCUUUUUUGCCUUGUUUUAAAGGGGAGUUUAAAAAACUCCCCUUUUACAUUUAAGCCGGUGA